AAUCUAGAAUUCACACAUGCUUUAGCCACACAUGCUUUAUUCGUUGGUCUGCAUCCUUAACCUGGUUAGUCUUUUCGCCAGCUUCAGCUUCUUUGUGCCUUCUUUCCCCUGGCCUCUGCAUUCAUUUGAUGGGGAACUGCUACCUAUGAAAGACCAGCACUAAACACUGUGCCUUUGAAUACUAAUUGCUGAGGAGCAAAGUAGGGAGAUUGCUGUUGCACAAAUAUCCUGCUAGCUUCCCAUAGGAAGUCCCGGGAUCAGUAAUCAUCAUCAUCAUCAUCAUCAUCAUCAUCAAUUAAAACUAUCUAGCAAAUACAGGCAACCCCCUAUUUAUGUGUCUUCAAUAUGUGCAUGACUAUGCAUAUGUGCAUCACACCAAACCCAGAAGUGACCCAAAAAGUCACAAAAACAUCUGAAAAGGGGGUGGAGUAGGGCAAAGGCAGGGAGUGGCAGGGGCAGAAUGGAGUGUUUGCAGAUAUUUUCAAUGGUGCUCGAAAUAUAUGCAAUUUCACUUAAACACAUGGUGCCUUGGAAGGUAACUCCUGUGUAAAUGGGGAGUUGCCUGUAGUUCAUUCUUCAGCAUAUAGAGGUAGUUGCUCAGUUCUUCGGAUCCUGGUCAUUUAUUUUAUUUCAUCCAGUUCAAACAAGCAUUCUCAUCAAGCAAGCUCCCACAAUGUACAGAUGGAGAAUGGAGACUGAAAACAACAUGUCAAGUCAUCCCAUUCUGCAAGAUUCAUGAUUUUGAGGCGUAUUUAAAUGAUCUAUGGUACAGCCGUAAUGUUUGGCAAGAUGAGCCACCUGUUGUUUGCUUUUAGCAUAUAUAAAAAGAAUUAAAAUGAAGGCAGGUAUUUAAUUUAUGUGCCCUGCUUUCUCUGGCUUUACUUUCACCAUGGGUCAUGUAAUAGGACCUGCAAUGUUAAGGCAUAAAAUAGCUCGUGAAAGGGUAACUAGUUACUACUCCUUGGUGAAAGGAGAUCUGAAAUGAAGUGUUGGCAGUUCCAUUGAAUCACAGGUCACCAGGGAGACUAUGGCUCAUGUUGCAUGUGCUUAUGCCAUAACAGAGCCAUACACAACACUCAAAGUUCAGCCAGGAGCUACAAACCAGGAGCAGGAGUUGCACCAGGGAUUCCAGAGGAAAGGGAACAAGCCAAUAGUCAGAGCUAAAGAAUGCAUGGAAACAUGUCAUAGAGGGGAAGACACUGUUGCUCCAAAAAGGUCCCAGCACAAACAUAUCAAUGUGUGUCCAAUUGCCAGCCUAGUUGUGUAGAGCUUAACAUGGUGAUCCAACCACCACCAUCCCAACAAGUCUGGGGGGUGGAUUAGGCAGAGGAGUACUUCUGCCCAACUCUCCUGGCUCAGCUGACCUCCUGGCAAAUGGAUGGCAGACCCACUGACCAGUUCCUCACUGGCAGGCGCAAGUAGAAAGGGUGUUAUGAGAGCCAGUGCAGGAUCCACUCGAUCCAAAGCUGGUCCCACUGUUGCUGCACAACAACAUCAGGCCUGGUUGUCCUGCCAUCCACGUGUGAAUGGCAGGGCUGCAGAUGCAGCGCUGGUUCCCUUAGACUACUAUACAGACAGGGAGAUGUGGCAGGCAGCAGUUUUGAUAUGGGCAACCAAACAUAAACACAACCAAAGACUUCCAACUUUGCAACCCUGACAACUCCCAAUAUAGCUUAUUGACUUUGCUUGGACUACCUGUUCCUGUUGGUUCUAUUAACCCAAGACCCACAGAUUGGAGCAUUGAGGAAUAAGGAAAAGGACUUUGCUCUAGCUGAGAUUCCUGCAUUGUAAGGGGGUUGGACUAGAUGACCCUUGGAGGUCCCUUUCAACUCUACAGUUCUAUGAUUUUAUGACUCAGUGAUAGAGAAGGCCCCAGGUUCAGUCCCUGACAUCUCCAUGUUUAAGUGGGAAGGACUCAAAAGCCAUUGUCAGUCUGUGUACGAAGCUAAUAAACCAGCAAUUUGGUAUGAGGCAGCUCCAUGUAUCUGAGCUGGAAAUAUUUUCCGUAUUCACUUUCAGUCAUUAUCCACUGCCCAGACAAGCCGGUAUGUUCUAUAAACCAGGUUCUAUAAAGCUACUUUAGGCUUAUGAAAGGCCUUGAGUUUAGUCACUAGGAUUCUUGGCUUCACCUUUUUCUUUAAACAACAACUACCCAAUCCUCGUUGCCACAUCACAAAGCUGUUUAGCAUGCAUCAAUGUGCUGUGAACUAGAUGAACAGAUCUUUGGAUCCUGGCUUUGAAUCUGACAAAUUUAUACGGGUCCAAAUAGGCAAUGAUAUGGCUGAUCUUACUGUACCAUUUAUUAGUCUGAGCAAUACUAAAUCUAGGCAGGAAAGAGACACAAGAAGAGAGAGAAAUGACCAAACAGCCAAGUACAGUAGAAUAGUUUUGUGUUUACGUGUUGUAUUUUGUACUUUCUUGCACCCUUGUAAUAAAUCCUAAGCUUCUGAUUAUUUUCAGUUUAUGUUAUAUGAUCCUUACUGGAAAUUUGAAGACUUACUCUAGACAUACUCUCCCCUCCCCUUUUGUGGGGGCUUAUUUACUACCCUUAGUAGUAGAAAAGUCCCAUUUCAAUCACGUUUGAAAUACCUCAUUUUAGACAAGUACGUGCUGCUCUGCUUACAAAACAUAUAUGAGUGGAAUAUGCAAUUACCACAACUCAGUUGCCUGCCACAGAAACAUUUCAGCAUUAUAGCAUUACAAAAAUAGAAUGACAUGCAUAAUGAAAGAUUUCAAGAUUCACCCAAGGCAUUUAUUCUCUUCACCUUAAUGUUCUCAGCAGAAGCAGAGUAUCCAUUAAAAGGUACUAUGAAUUAUGGUUGCCUAGCAACAGGAAAGAGCUUGUAACAGCACCACAGAAUGAAAUGGCUGGUUGAUAAAAUGAAUUUUCUCUGAGCAUUAGCCUGUUGAAACUGCCUUUUCUUGUGGAACAUAAAGUGCAUUUAUUUGUCUCAUGCAUUUUUUAUUAGAAAAUUAUUUGAGUUCCAGAGACUUGAAUCAUUUUGCUACAGGAGAUAUUUGAUUUUAAUGUGUUGUACUAAAAUAAGUGAUAAAAGACAUUUUCUUCAAAGUAAAGACACCGCACAAUUCUAGGUAGCUUCUUUGAAGUAAGAAAUAAAAUCUUAUAUCGGGCAUGCAAUUACUUAUUUCUAAUUAAGAGUGACAUUAAGUAGCAACAAAAGUAAACUUUUAGAUUUUUCUUUGAGGGACAAAGUUUGACAUAGUAGGCAAUAUGUGGUGAAUAAGGCAAACAGUUCUGUUGUAGGUUUGACAUGAGGAGAAUCAGAUUUUGCUUCGUUACAUGGUACAUCAGUCUCUAUAGAAGCCUGAAAUACAGAAACAGUUGUGACUAUUAUUCAUGUCUACAGUUUACUUUAAUGCUUAUUUUUAUCUUAAAUUUCCAUAAGUAUUGGAGAAAUGUGUGUUCGAGAGAGAGAGAUAGGCUUUGUUUUAGCUAUUACUAGUAAAUCAUAGCAUAUAAAAUAUGAACAGCUUUCUUUUAAGCAUUUUAUUAGGAUACAAGUAGCCAAUCUAGUGCCCCCCAUAUGUUGUUGAAUGUUGUGGUACAAUUCCCAGUCCCCAGUGGCCAGUAGGCAGGGAUGAGAGAGUUGUAGUUCAACAUCAUUGGCUGCACCUAUACUAGAUUAUAUGUAAGGAUAAUCUCUAAAUUAUAUUGUUUUCCCUUCCUGUAUCUGGUUUAUCUAACAUCUGUAGCAGUCAUGGCACAAACAGAAACUUUCUCUGUAAUAGCCAUAGAGUCAUCCUGUGUGUGGCAAGUGGGCAGUGCUGGCCUAGAAUAGGGAAAAAGUAUUCUUCCUGUGGUCCCUGGUUGGGAUUGAGUUUAUGCCUGUAUUAGGAGUCUAGCAGCCCUUAGCAAGUGGCAUAGGAAGUUACAAUAGCCUCAUGAGCUCCACCUUUUCUCCCUUUCCUUCCUUGACAAAGUUCAUAGAAUCACUAUAGGUACAGGGUCUAGACCUUGGAUUGCAAGCUAAUAAGCAUGGGUAGAGAAGCUACCAGCAUGAGUUUGACCAAACUGCGGGAGGUGGUGGAAGACAGGAGUGCCUGGCAUGCUCUGGUCCAUGGGGUCACGAAGAGUCGGACACGACUAAAUGACUAAACAACAACAGAGAAUACAGACUUUAGUUGCCAGUAAACAUUACAUUGUUUUCUUUCUUUCUUUCUUUCUUUCUUUCAUUUCUAUUAAGAAUUUUCAGUGUAAGAGACAAUAAAAGUCAAACUGGUCUAAAGAAGAUAAAUAGGAAAGAAGCAAGAAUUAGCAGAGAAUAAAGAAAAAGAAAGAGGAGAGUAUAAAGAAGAGAGAAUAAGCACUAGGCCUUUUGUCACAAUUAUAUCUUAAUCCUUAUUCCACACACAGAAAAGUGAAUCCUCCCAGCUCUCAUCUGUGAGCUUCCUCCUCUUCCUCCAGCUUCCCACCCUGGGAGAUCCUCUCUACCAUGCCUCUCACACAGGGCCCUUGAUCUUCCUGUGUGUAUCUUCGUUAAUCCACGAAAGCAAACUUCAAAAAAACAAAGCAUAAAUAUAGAGAGAAAGG
Non-coding RNA from Podarcis lilfordi (Lilford's wall lizard), 4552 nucleotides. The record is from the annotation of a GenBank genome assembly. NCBI's taxonomy places the organism in Eukaryota, Metazoa, Chordata, Lepidosauria, Squamata, Lacertidae.